UUCUGCCCGCGGCUAUGGAACCCUGACCUGUCCACCGGAUGUGCUACCUGUCCCAGACCUGCUGUUUUCAACUCUAGAGGGUACAUGAGUGUCUUGGGAUUCCCUAGGGCCUGGAAGUAAAGUCGGGGAAAGGUCUCGGUGACAGACUUACACAGAGGGUCCUGCCAUUUUAAACCACAUACUUUUAGAUUCYCCAAGUUUGCGUGUUUUGCACAUCUGUAUGGUUGAUUGAAACAUAUGAAGUUUAUAAUUAAGUUAUGUUUUAUUUAUAUUAAUGUAUUUUUAUGUUUUUACUAUUGAUAUUAUUUGCAAGGUACUGUAAUUGCAAGUGCUUCUCAUCAUAUGUGCACUUCCCUUGUCRAAUGUCAGAAUAAACAACACCAAAGAACUGGGA
This is a non-coding RNA of Salvelinus sp. IW2-2015, 394 nucleotides long. The record is from RefSeq and is a predicted model, not a curated record. NCBI's taxonomy places the organism in Eukaryota, Metazoa, Chordata, Actinopteri, Salmoniformes, Salmonidae.